UAGGGAAUCUUCCGCAAUGGGCGAAAGCCUGACGGAGCAACGCCGCGUGAGUGAUGAAGGUCUUCGGAUCGUAAAACUCUGUUAUUAGGGAAGAACAAAUGUGUAAGUAACUAUGCACGUCUUGACGGUACCUAAUCAGAAAGCCACGGCUAACUACGUGCCAGCAGCCGCGGUAAUACGUAGGUGGCAAGCGUUAUCCGGAAUUAUUGGGCGUAAAGCGCGCGUAGGCGGUUUUUUAAGUCUGGUGUGAAAGCCCACGGCUCAACCGUGGGGGGUCAUUGGAAACUGGAAAACUUGAGUGCAGAAGAGGAAAGUGGAAUUCCAUGGGUAGCGGUGAAAUGGGCAGAGAUAUGGAGGAACACCAGUGGCGAAGGCGACUUUCUGGUCUGUAACUGACGCUGAUGUGCGAAAGCGUGGGGAUCAAGCAGG
This 429-nucleotide ribosomal RNA is filed under the name Actinomycetes bacterium. RNAcentral's name for it is "Actinobacteria bacterium partial 16S ribosomal RNA". It matches the Rfam family "Bacterial small subunit ribosomal RNA", at positions 355 to 776 of the family's 1533-position model. The record is from RNAcentral. Lineage: Bacteria; Bacillati; Actinomycetota; Actinomycetes.